CCUCCGCUCGCUAAAAAGAUCGAAACUUUACCAUCGCAUUAUCAAAGAUGGGCAUCCAAGAAGACCCCGGCGCUCACUCGUCAACCCGAAGGAACCCAUCAUCGCUUCCACAGACUCUCAAACAUUUCCACCGAGACCUACUCGCCGGAGCCGUCAUGGGAGGCGUCGUCCACACCAUCGUCGCCCCAAUCGAGAGAGCCAAGCUCCUCCUCCAGACCCAGGAGAGCAACAUCGCCAUCGUCGGAGACUCCUCCGGGAAGAGACGCUUCAAAGGAAUGUUCGAUUUCAUCCACCGCACGGUCCGUGAAGAAGGCGUUUUAUCCCUGUGGAGAGGCAACGGGAGCAGCGUGCUCCGCUACUACCCUUCCGUGGCUCUCAACUUCUCCCUCAAGGACCUCUACAGAAACAUCCUCCGCAACAGCAGCUCUCAGGAGAGUCACGUCUUCUCCGGGGCCUUAGCUAACUUCAUCGCUGGCUCCGCGGCGGGAUGCACGGCUUUGAUUGUUGUUUACCCUCUUGAUAUAGCUCACACGCGUUUGGCUGCUGACGUUGGGAAGAAGGAGGCUCGUCAGUUCAGAGGGAUUCAUCAUUUCUUGACGACGGUUCAGAGGAAAGACGGUGUUAGAGGGAUCUACAGAGGGUUGCCUGCGUCUCUGCACGGUGUGAUUGUUCACCGUGGGCUGUACUUUGGUGGGUUUGAUACGGUUAAGGAGGUUUUGUCUGAAGAUAAGGAGUUGGCGUUGUGGAAGAGAUGGGUUUUGGCUCAGGGUGUGACUACUUCUGCUGGUUUGGCUUCUUACCCGUUGGAUACGGUUAUAACACGCAAGAGACCCGAAUCAGUCUCCAAUCACAAUUUCUAGGGUUAAUUUGGAAUCUCCUUUGCUCGUGUACAAUGCCAGAUUGAACCAAAUCAAAACCAACCCCCAAAGUUUCGAUUUUUAAUAAACCCAAUUGCCUCCGCUCGCUAAAAAGAUCGAAACUUUACCAUCGCAUUAUCAAAGAUGGGCAUCCAAGAAGACCCCGGCGCUCACUCGUCAACCCGAAGGAACCCAUCAUCGCUUCCACAGACUCUCAAACAUUUCCACCGAGACCUACUCGCCGGAGCCGUCAUGGGAGGCGUCGUCCACACCAUCGUCGCCCCAAUCGAGAGAGCCAAGCUCCUCCUCCAGACCCAGGAGAGC
Molecule: long non-coding RNA, 1181 nt
Filed under: Brassica napus (rape)
Lineage: Eukaryota; Viridiplantae; Streptophyta; Magnoliopsida; Brassicales; Brassicaceae
Description: long non-coding RNA (BNAP_LNC008752)
Source: RNAcentral